Long non-coding RNA from Phyllostomus discolor (pale spear-nosed bat), 524 nucleotides. RefSeq lists it as uncharacterized. Lineage: Eukaryota; Metazoa; Chordata; Mammalia; Chiroptera; Phyllostomidae. The transcript is spliced from 3 exons. The record is from RefSeq and is a predicted model, not a curated record.
CAUAGUUUGUUUCUGUUUUACUUGUUUUAAGUGGUUAUAAGAAGUUUUUAUUUGCUGGCCUUCCAUCAAGAGAAACCAUCCAAAUUUACUGAUGGCAAGCAACUAUUAUCUAUUAAUAUUUUCAUUGCCAACCUGUGUCAUUGCGUUGUAAAUAAGAAUCCCUAAAACUCUGAAACCUCUCAGUUCCUUGAUAGAUGCACACACACAGUACCGAGGAGAAGGCUCAAUGCUAAGAUUGUGCAAGUCUUCUGGAGGUUUCCUAUGCUUUCAUGUAAAGAACAGAGCUUGGAGGGGAGAAGCUAAAGAUUUCUUUUUGUUGGCUUCAUGCCUGUCACCCACACAAACACCAACACGCUGGGAGAUUGCUCCCUGAUUCAGCAGAUUCAAGUAAAAGCCUGAGAUGUGGAGAAAGCUACCACAUAAUCCUUGAACACAUAGUUAACUUCUAUUUUAUUAGAAAUGAUUUUCUGCUGUUCUACUAUUUAUCAUUUACAGAAUAAAAAAACACAAACAAAAAAAUAACA